This 1485-nucleotide ribosomal RNA is filed under the name Niallia circulans. RNAcentral's name for it is "bacterial SSU rRNA". It matches the Rfam family "Bacterial small subunit ribosomal RNA". The record is from RNAcentral. Lineage: Bacteria; Bacillati; Bacillota; Bacilli; Caryophanales; Bacillaceae.
GACGAACGCUGGCGGCGUGCCUAAUACAUGCAAGUCGAGCGGACUUUAAAAGCUUGCUUUUAAAGUUAGCGGCGGACGGGUGAGUAACACGUGGGCAACCUGCCUGUAAGACUGGGAUAACUUCGGGAAACCGGAGCUAAUACCGGAUAAUCCUUUUCCUCUCAUGAGGAAAAGCUGAAAGACGGUUUACGCUGUCACUUACAGAUGGGCCCGCGGCGCAUUAGCUAGUUGGUGAGGUAACGGCUCACCAAGGCGACGAUGCGUAGCCGACCUGAGAGGGUGAUCGGCCACACUGGGACUGAGACACGGCCCAGACUCCUACGGGAGGCAGCAGUAGGGAAUCUUCCGCAAUGGACGAAAGUCUGACGGAGCAACGCCGCGUGAGUUGAUUGAACGGUUUUCGGAUUCGUAAAACUCUGUUGUUAGGGAAGAACAAGUACAAGAGUAACUGCUUGUACCUUGACCGUACCUAACCAGAAAAGCCACGGCUAACUACGUGCCAGCAGCCCGCGGUAAUACGUAGGUGGCAAGCGUUGUCCGGAAUCAUUGGGCGUAAAGCGCGCGCAGGGCGGUCCUUUAAGUCUGAUGUGAAAGCCCACGGCUCAACCCGUGGAGGGUCAUUGGAAACUGGGGGACUUGAGUGCAGAAGAGAAGAGUGGAAUUCCACGUGUAGCGGUGAAAUGCGUAGAGAUGUGGAGGAACACCAGUGGCGAAGGCGACUCUUUGGUCUGUAACUGACGCUGAGGCGCGAAAGCGUGGGGAGCAAACAGGAUUAGAUACCCUGGUAGUCCACGCCGUAAACGAUGAGUGCUAAGUGUUAGAGGGUUUCCGCCCUUUAGUGCUGCAGCAAACGCAUUAAGCACUCCGCCUGGGGAGUACGGCCGCAAAGGCUGAAACUCAAAGGAAUUGACGGGGGCCCGCACAAGCGGGUGGAGCAUGUGGUUUAAUUUCGAAGCAACGCGAAGAACCUUACCAGGUCUUGACAUCCUCUGACACUCCUAGAGAUAGGACGUUCCCCUUCGGGGGACAGAGUGACAGGUGGUGCAUGAUUGUCGUCAGCUCGUGUCGUGAGAUGGUUGGGUUAAGUCCCGCAACGAGCGCAACCCUUUGAUUCUUAGCUUGCCAGCAUUCAGUUGGGCACUCUAAGGUGACUGCCGGUGACAAACCGGAGGAAGGUGGGGAUGACGUCAAAUCAUCAUGCCCCUUAUGACCUGGGCUACACACGUGCUACAAUGGAUGGUACAAAGGGCAGCAAAACCGCGAGGUCGAGCAAAUCCCAUAAAACCAUUCUCAGUUCGGAUUGUAGGCUGCAACUCGCCUACAUGAAGCUGGAAUCGCUAGUAAUCGCGGAUCAGCAUGCCGCGGUGAAUACGUUCCCGGGCCUUGUACACACCGCCCGUCACACCACGAGAGUUUGUAACACCCGAAGUCGGUGGGGUAACCUUUUGGAGCCAGCCGCCUAAGGUGGGAUAGAUGAUUGGGGUG